GGACCAGAACUCCUACGGGAGGCAGCAGUGAGGAAUAUGACAAUGGUUAGCGCUGAUCCAGCAUCCGCGUGAAGACGACGCCCUAUGGGUGUAAACUUCUUUGUAUAGGGAUAAACCUUUCCCACGUGUGGGAAGCUGAAGGUACUAUACGAAUAAGCACCGGCUAACUCCGUGCCAGCAGCCGCGGUAAUACGGAGGGUGCAAGCGUUAUCCGGAUUUAUUGGGUUUAAAGGGUCCGUAGGCGGAUCUGUAAGUCAGUGGUGAAAUCUCACAGCUUAACUGUGAAACUGCCAUUGAUACUGCAGGUCUUGAGUGAGGUAGAAGUAGCUGGAAUAAGUAGUGUAGCGGUGAAAUGCAUAGAUAUUACUUAGAACACCAAUUGCGAAGGCAGGUUACUAUGUCUUAACUGACGCUGAUGGACGAAAGCGUGGGGAGCGAACAGGAUUAGAUACCCUGGUAGUCCACGCCGUAAACGAUGCUAACUCGUUUUUGGGUCUUUAAGAUUCAGAGACUAAGCGAAAGUGAUAAGUUAGCCACCUGGGGAGUACGAACGCAAGUUUGAAACUCAAAGGAAUUGACGGGGGCCCGCACAAGCGGUGGAUUAUGUGGUUUAAUUCGAUGAUACGCGAGGAACCUUACCAAGGCUUAAAUGGGAAUUGAUCGGUUUAGAAAUAGACCUUCCUUCGGGCAAUUUUCAAGGUGCUGCAUGGUUGUCGUCAGCUCGUGCCGUGAGGUGUUAGGUUAAGUCCUGCAACGAGCGCAACCCCUGUCACUAGUUGCCAUCAUUCAGUUGGGGACUCUAGUGAGACUGCCUACGCAAGUAGAGAGGAAGGUGGGGAUGACGUCAAAUCAUCACGGCCCUUACGCCUUGGGCCACACACGUAAUACAAUGGCCGGUACAGAGGGCAGCUACCUAGCGAUAGGAUGCAAAUCUCGAAAGCCGGUCUCAGUUCGGAUUGGAGUCUGCAACUCGACUCUAUGAAGCUGGAAUCGCUAGUAAUCGCGCAUCAGCCAUGGCGCGGUGAAUACGUUCCCGGGCCUUGUACACACCGCCCGUCAAGCCAUGGAAGUCUGGGGUACCUGAAGUCGGUGACCGUAACAGGAGCUGGCCCUUAGGGGA
RNAcentral lists this ribosomal RNA (1120 nucleotides) under Chryseobacterium sp. RNAcentral's name for it is "bacterial SSU rRNA". It matches the Rfam family "Bacterial small subunit ribosomal RNA", at positions 327 to 1464 of the family's 1533-position model. The record is from RNAcentral. Lineage: Bacteria; Pseudomonadati; Bacteroidota; Flavobacteriia; Flavobacteriales; Weeksellaceae.